RNAcentral lists this ribosomal RNA (629 nucleotides) under uncultured bacterium. RNAcentral describes it as "bacterial SSU rRNA". It matches the Rfam family "Bacterial small subunit ribosomal RNA", at positions 57 to 682 of the family's 1533-position model. The record is from RNAcentral.
GCAGUCGAGCGGUAGAGAGGUGCUUGCACCUCUUGAGAGCGGCGGACGGGCGAGUAAAGCCUAGGAAUCUGCCUGGUAGUGGGGGAUAACGCUCGGAAACGGACGCUAAUACCGCAUACGUCCUACGGGAGAAAGCAGGGGACCUUCGGGCCUUGCGCUAUCAGAUGAGCCUAGGUCGGAUUAGCUAGUUGGUGAGGUAAUGGCUCACCAAGGCGACGAUCCGUAACUGGUCUGAGAGGAUGAUCAGUCACACUGGAACUGAGACACGGUCCAGACUCCUACGGGAGGCAGCAGUGGGGAAUAUUGGACAAUGGGCGAAAGCCUGAUCCAGCCAUGCCGCGUGUGUGAAGAAGGUCUUCGGAUUGUAAAGCACUUUAAGUUGGGAGGAAGGGCAUUAACCUAAUACGUUAGUGUUUUGACGUUACCGACAGAAUAAGCACCGGCUAACUCUGUGCCAGCAGCCGCGGUAAUACAGAGGGUGCAAGCGUUAAUCGGAAUUACUGGGCGUAAAGCGCGCGUAGGUGGUUCGUUAAGUUGGAUGUGAAAUCCCCGGGCUCAACCUGGGAACUGCAUUCAAAACUGUCGAGCUAGAGUAUGGUAGAGGGUGGUGGAAUUUCCUGUGUAGCGGU